RNAcentral lists this ribosomal RNA (473 nucleotides) under uncultured bacterium. Its description in RNAcentral is "bacterial SSU rRNA". It matches the Rfam family "Bacterial small subunit ribosomal RNA", at positions 35 to 507 of the family's 1533-position model. The record is from RNAcentral.
GCUGGCGCGUGCCUUAACACAUGCAAGUCAACUUGACUGAAGGAGCAAUCUGACAGUAGAGUGGCGCAAGGGUGCGUAACGCGUAAGUAACUUGCCCCAAGGUAAGGAAUAACGUCGAGAAAUCGGCGCUAAUACCUCAUAAUGCAGCGGAUCCGCAUGGAUAUGUUGUUAAAGGUUUACCGCCUUGGGAUAGGCUUGCGUCUGAUUAGCUAGUUGGUGUGGUAACGGCACACCAAGGCUACGAUCAGUAACUGGUCUGAGAGGAUGAUCAGUCACACUGGAACUGAGACACGGUCCAGACUCCUACGGGAGGCAGCAGUGAGGAAUAUUGGGCAAUGCUCGAAAGAGUGACCCAGCAACGCCGCGUGGAGGAUGAAGGUAUUCUAUAUCGUAAACUCCUGUGAGAGCAGACGAAAGACAGAUUAUUAAUCUGGAUGACUGUAUGCUCAGAGGAAGCCCCGGCUAACUACGUG